RNAcentral lists this ribosomal RNA (253 nucleotides) under uncultured bacterium. Its description in RNAcentral is "partial 16S ribosomal RNA". It matches the Rfam family "Bacterial small subunit ribosomal RNA", at positions 524 to 776 of the family's 1533-position model. The record is from RNAcentral.
GACAGAGGAUGCAAGCGUUAUCCGGAAUGAUUGGGCGUAAAGCGUCUGUAGGUGGCUUUUCAAGUCCGCCGUCAAAUCCCAGGGCUCAACCCUGGACAGGCGGUGGAAACUACCAAGCUGGAGUACGGUAGGGGCAGAGGGAAUUUCCGGUGGAGCGGUGAAAUGCAUUGAGAUCGGAAAGAACACCAACGGCGAAGGCAGCUCGCUGGGACGGAACUGACGCUAAGGCGCGAAAGCGUGGGGAGCGAACAGG